RNAcentral lists this ribosomal RNA (467 nucleotides) under uncultured bacterium. RNAcentral describes it as "partial 16S ribosomal RNA". It matches the Rfam family "Bacterial small subunit ribosomal RNA", at positions 29 to 507 of the family's 1533-position model. The record is from RNAcentral.
ACGAACGCUGGCGGCGUGCUUCACACAUGCAAGUCGAACGGAAAGGCCCUGCUUUUGUGGGGUGCUCGAGUGGCGAACGGGUGAGUAACACGUGAGUAACCUGCCCUUGACUUUGGGAUAACUUCAGGAAACUGGGGCUAAUACCGGAUAGGAGCUCCUGCUGCAUGGUGGGGGUUGGAAAGUUUCGGCGGUUGGGGAUGGACUCGCGGCUUAUCAGCUUGUUGGUGGGGUAGUGGCUUACCAAGGCUUUGACGGGUAGCCGGCCUGAGAGGGUGACUGGCCACAUUGGGACUGAGAUACGGCCCAGACUCCUACGGGAGGCAGCAGUGGGGAAUAUUGCACAAUGGGCGGAAGCCUGAUGCAGCAACGCCGCGUGCGGGAUGACGGCCUUCGGGUUGUAAACCGCUUUCGCCUGUGACGAAGCGUGAGUGACGGUAAUGGGUAAAGAAGCACCGGCUAACUACGUG